Molecule: ribosomal RNA, 274 nt
Filed under: uncultured Synergistaceae bacterium
Lineage: Bacteria; Thermotogati; Synergistota; Synergistia; Synergistales; Synergistaceae
Description: partial 16S ribosomal RNA
Rfam family: Bacterial small subunit ribosomal RNA
Source: RNAcentral
UUCAGUUGCCAUCGGGUAAUGCCGGGCACUCUGGAAGGACUGCCAUCGACAAGAUGGAGGAAGGUGGGGAUGACGUCAAGUCAUCAUGGCCCUUAUGUCCAGGGCGACACACGUGCUACAAUGGCCGGCACAACGGGAAGCGAGUUCGCGAGGACAAGCGGAUCCCUUAAAGCCGGUCGCAGUUCGGAUUGAAGUCUGCAACUCGACUUCAUGAAGCUGGAAUCGCUAGUAAUCGUGGAUCAGCCAAGCCGCGGUGAAUACGUUCCCGGGCCUU